UCUCAAGCCACAGAGGUAGCUAACAUUAACUGAAAUGUUAGCUACAAGUAGGCUUGUACCGUAAGUGGUAAAUUGCCGCGUGCCGCUUAGGCCGCCCAUUGUGACUCGGUUGUGGGCGUGCAGGCAGCAUAUAGCACGCCCACAACCGAGUGCGUCAAUAAUUCAGCGUAGCAAGUUUGUAUGAAGGUCUGGUUAUUAAAUGGGUACGUAGUUCAAUAGUAAUAUCCUCUAAAACGCACUGGUGACAAACAAACUUUGCUGCCCUGUAUCCAAUUAUCUACAUGGCUGGGAGAACCUAUUGAAGUAAGUAAAUACAUUUGAAAAAGUUUUUUUAUUUUUUUUAAACCUACGUGUUAUUAGCUAACUAGCUACAGUGCAGGCUAACUCAAAUGAGCUGCUAAAUGAACUAGCUAGUUGGCUAGCUAGCUAUCUAGCCAACUUCACAUACUGUAUAGAUAGCUAGCCAAGUGAAUUAAAUAUCACCAGCUACCUUACCUCAUAUUAGCUCGGUAUCUUGAUGUAUUUAUCACUGUAAAAAACGAACUCAAAAUGCAUUUGUCGGUAGCUAGCUAACAGCCAUGGAGGGUGAAAGGAUAGCAGCCCCAACUGUCAAAGUGAGAGAGUUGGCUAUUCUGGAUAGGGCAGGUACUUUUGUGUAGUUCCUGUCCCUAGAAGUGAGGACGGAGAUAAUAGUAACAUAAUAUUCAGUACGGUAUAAUUUCACUAUAAUGAAGUCUGUUUAUUGUGAGGUUUUCUGUCCUCAGAUAAAGAGAGCUGUGAAAGCCUGUCUACAUAUGGGGGUGCCACAGGGUUCAAUUCUUGAGCCGACUCUUUUCUCUGUAUACAUCAAUGAUGUCGCUCUUGCUGCUGGUGAGUCUCUGAUCCACCUCUACGCAGACGACACCAUUCUGUAUACUUCUGGCCCUUUGGACACUGUGUUAACUACCCUCCAGACGAGCUUCAAUGCCAUACAACUCUCCUUCCGUGGCUUCCAACUGCUUCCAACAAGUAAAACUAAAUGCAUGCUCUUCAACCGAUCACUGCCUGCACCUGCCCGCCCGUCCAGCAUCACUACUCUGGACGGUUCUGACUUAGAAUAUGUGGACAACUACAAAUACCUAGGUGUCUGGUUAGACUGUGAACUCUCCUUCCAGACUCACAUCAAAUAUCUCCCAUCCAAAGUUAAAUCUAGAAUUGGCUUCCUAUUUCGCAACAAAGCAUCUUUCACUCAUGCUGCCAAACAUACCCUCGUAAAACUGACCAUCCUACCGAUCCUCGACUUCGGCGAUGUCAUUUACAAAAUAGCCUCCAAUACCCUACUCAAUAAAUUGGAUGCAGUGCCAUCCGUUUUGUCACCAAAGCCCCAUAUAUUACCCACCACGCGCUCUCGUUGGCUGGCCCUCGCUUCAUACUCGUCGCCAAACCCACUGGCUCCAGGUCAUCUACAAGACCCUGCUAGCUAAAGUUCCCCCUUAUCUCAGCUCGCUGGUCACCAUAGCAGCACCCACCUGUAGCACGCGCUCUAGCAGGUAUAUCUCUCUGGUCACCCCCAAAGCCAAUUCCUCCUUCGGCCGCCUCUCCUUCCAGUUCUCUACUGCCAAUGACUGGAACGAACUACAAAAAUCUCUAAAACGGGAAACGCUUAUCUCCCUCACUAGCUUUAAGCACCAGCUGUCAGAGCAGCUCACAGAUUACUGCACCUGUACAUAGCCCAUCUAUAAUUUAGCCCAUACAACUACCUCUUCCCCUACUGUAUUUAUUUAUUUAUUUAUUUUUUUGCUCCUUUGCACCCCAUUAUUUCUAUUUUGCACUUUCUUCCACUGCAAAUCUACCAUUCCAGUGUUUUACUUGCUAUAUUGUAUUUACUUUGCCACCAUGGCCUUUUUUGCCUUUACCUCCCUUAUCUCACCUCAUUUGCUCACUUUGUAUAUAGACUUAUUUUUCUACUAUAUUAUUGACUGUAUGUUUGUUUUACUCCAUGUUGUUGUAUGUGUCAAACUGCUUGCUUUAUCUUGGUCAGGUCGCAAUUGUAAAUGAGAACUUGUUCUCAACUUUCCUACCUGGUUAAAUAAAAUAAAUAUGAAGAGCAGUGGUUCUCAGUCCUGGGGUCUCAAAAGGGGUGCACAUUUUUGUUUUUGCCUUAGCACUGCACAGCUGAUUCAGUUGAUCAACUCAUCAAGCUUCGAGUGGUAUUUAUGUAUUAAUUAUUUGAUAUGAUCCUGUUAUUGUCACAUGCUAUACAUGCACAUGUGUGCUCAUGCAUCUUGAUAUCCAUUGUUUUCAUGAGUUGUUAUAAGGGAUAUUAUACUUUAGUAUAAUGACCCAGUGAUGUAAAAGUCUAAUAAUUACAUUGUCUUCCAUAUUACUACAGAUACCUUGUAACUGGAGAUUCCUUCAAAACGAUUGCCUACAGUUAACAUAUAGGGCACUGCAAGGUUGGGUGACCAGGGCCAUCUGGGACUGCCUCCUGGGGGAAUUCAGGUGUGUGAAGGCUACCUGUGUGCUGCAUAACUUAAUGAGGAUGGACACGAGGACCAGGAGGGGAUCUGCAGCUUGCCGCCGUGUGCCAGAGUAGAAGUCUGCUGCUCUGCGGGAUGUUAAGGAUUGGGUAGCAAGAGACGCAGCAAGAGAGGCAAUCCAUGUGCGGGAGAUCUUCUACUUCUUCGAAGAGGGUGCUGUUCCCUGGCAACACCAUAGACUACACUAUGCACAACCAAAGGCUCUUUUAAGAGCCAUUCACAUUGCAAUAAGAGUAUUCUUCCAUUUACUUAGCUAUGUCAACUGCAGUUAUUGAAUUCACAGUUUUUCUCCCUUUGAUUUCUACUUCUCAGGUGAGGGUGCUGUUUAGCUAAGGGUGUGAUGUCUGUACAAAAACAAAACAGGCUAUUUUAAAUCACCCAUAUUGAUAUUAUUAUUAUUAUUAUUUUUUGAACAAUUAGACACCCUAUAACCCACACACUCAUUUAUCAAUCUGAUUGAUGGAUGGUGUUGAGCAGGUUCAGGUGUAUAACUGGCUUCUUCCACCUUCAAAGAAUAGGCAAGAGGGCCAACCAUGGAGAAUAGUAAAACACUUCAUUAUUUCUAUAACUACGCUAUAUUGUUUGUCCUCGUGUGUCCGUUCAUGUUUUUCAGCAUAAAGUACUCUGCAGCCACUUAGUGUGGUGUGGACACCAGGUGAGGCCACACCAGGAUUCCUGUUGAAAACAGUCACUUUUGACUACCUUAUUUUCUCAAGUCUCUCCUUCACUUCAUCCCUUUCUCCUCUUCUCCCUAGAUCCUCUAGGUUAUAUCAGCUGUGUCGGUGAACCCCUCCUGCAUCUGAACUGGCUACAUAGAGGGCACAGCAUGAUCAGAGAUAUGUUUUGAUGUGAGAGAGGAUGCCAACCCCCAGUCCUAUCAUCGCCACCUCACCCGCUUUUAAGAUAAGUAUCUCUCGACAGCCCAAAGGUUAUGUAAUUGUGAUGAACUGAGAAUAUUUAGGUAGCACUGUGAUUCAUUAAUCAUAUGCUGCCUUCCCUGCUCCUGUUUUACCUCUUUCCCUUUGUCUUUUACACCUCUCCCGCCACCUCUUUCUUCCUCUGUUUUUAUAAUGCACAACAGAUGUGCAUUGAAGUACAGAUUGAACUUGUAUUUAUAAUAUUACAAUUAUAAUAUUUAGAAUGCAUGUAUUUAUAACACUUGGAUAAUGAGCUUUUCAAUAAACCAUUUUACAUUCUCUACUGGUUGAAAAAUAAGUCUCAUUUGAUGAAAUACUACACCUAUUCUGUGUUUAUCAGAUCAAUGCAGAUGAAGGGCAUUAAAUAUUGAGAUGAACCGGUUUUAGACUAUUUACAUGAUGCAUAGGAAGUGUAGUGUACUGUUUUUCUGUAUAUAUAUAUAUAUAUAUA
RNAcentral lists this long non-coding RNA (3887 nucleotides) under Salmo salar (Atlantic salmon). RNAcentral describes it as "lncRNA (ENSSSAG00000107297.1)". The stretch from base 2714 to 2759 matches the Rfam family "Histone 3' UTR stem-loop". Lineage: Eukaryota; Metazoa; Chordata; Actinopteri; Salmoniformes; Salmonidae. The record is from RNAcentral.